UACGUAGGUGGCAAGCGUUGUCCGGAUUUACUGGGUGUAAAGGGCGUGCAGCCGGAGAGACAAGUCAGAUGUGAAAUCCACGGGCUCAACCCGUGAACUGCAUUUGAAACUGUUUCCCUUGAGUGUCGGAGAGGUAAUCGGAAUUCCUUGUGCAGCGGUGAAAUGCGUAGAUAUAAGGAAGAACACCAGUGGCGAAGGCGGAUUACUGGACGAUAACUGACGGUGAGGCGCGAAAGCGUGGGGAGCAAACAGG
Molecule: ribosomal RNA, 253 nt
Filed under: uncultured bacterium
Lineage: Bacteria
Description: partial 16S ribosomal RNA
Rfam family: Bacterial small subunit ribosomal RNA
Source: RNAcentral